RNAcentral lists this ribosomal RNA (468 nucleotides) under uncultured bacterium. RNAcentral's name for it is "partial 16S ribosomal RNA". It matches the Rfam family "Bacterial small subunit ribosomal RNA", at positions 28 to 507 of the family's 1533-position model. The record is from RNAcentral.
GACGAACGCUGGCGGCGUGCUUAACACAUGCAAGUCGAACGGAAAGGCCCUGCUUUUGUGGGGUGCUCGAGUGGCGAACGGGCGAGUAACACGUGAGUAACCUGCCCUUGACUUUGGGAUAACUUCAGGAAACUGGGGCUAAUACUGGAUAGGAGCUCCUGCUGCAUGGUGGGGGUUGGAAAGUUUCGGCGGUUGGGGAUGGACUCGCGGCUUAUCAGCUUGUUGGUGGGGUAGUGGCUUACCAAGGCUUUGACGGGUAGCCGGCCUGAGAGGGUGACCGGCCACAUUGGGACUGAGAUACGGCCCAGACUCCUACGGGAGGCAGCAGUGGGGAAUAUUGCACAAUGGGCGGAAGCCUGAUGCAGCAACGCCGCGUGCGGGAUGACGGCCUUCGGGUUGUAAACCGCUUUCGCCUGUGACGAAGCGUGAGUGACGGUAAUGGGUAAAGAAGCACCGGCUAACUACGUG